RNAcentral lists this ribosomal RNA (436 nucleotides) under uncultured bacterium. RNAcentral describes it as "bacterial SSU rRNA". It matches the Rfam family "Bacterial small subunit ribosomal RNA", at positions 57 to 507 of the family's 1533-position model. The record is from RNAcentral.
GCAAGUCGAACGGUGAACCAGAGCUUGCUCUGGGGAUCAGUGGCGAACGGGUGAGUAACACGUGGGCAACCUGCCCCAGACUCUGGGAUAACCUCGGGAAACCGAUGCUAAUACCGGAUACGACCACUUCGGACAUCCGACGGUGGUGGAAAGUUUUUCGGUCUGGGAUGGGCCCGCGGCCUAUCAGCUAGUUGGUGGGGUAAUGGCCUACCAAGGCGACGACGGGUAGCCGGCCUGAGAGGGCGACCGGCCACACUGGAACUGAGACACGGUCCAGACUCCUACGGGAGGCAGCAGUGGGGAAUAUGCACAAUGGGCGAAAGCCUGAUGCAGCGACGCCGCGUGAGGGACGACGGCCUUCGGGUUGUAAACCUCUUUCAGCAGGGACGAAGCGAAAGUGACUGUACCUGCAGAAGAAGCACCGGCUAACUACGUG